UGGGUUUUUAAAAGAAACUGCA
RNAcentral lists this non-coding RNA (22 nucleotides) under Rattus norvegicus (Norway rat). The record is from RNAcentral. Lineage: Eukaryota; Metazoa; Chordata; Mammalia; Rodentia; Muridae.